This is a non-coding RNA of Cinara cedri, 1064 nucleotides long. NCBI's taxonomy places the organism in Eukaryota, Metazoa, Arthropoda, Insecta, Hemiptera, Aphididae. The record is from the annotation of a GenBank genome assembly.
AUAAGGGAUAAUAAAAUAAUCCGAUUGGUUUUCGUUUGAAUUACUUACUGUAUAUUAUUAUGUGUAAUGCGAUCAAAAUUAUAUUAUGCAUAACAUCGUUUACUAUCAAUCCCGAAUUAAGGGAGGGGAGCACUUUCUUUGGGCCCUUCAGAUGUAAAGAACCCAUUGUUCCCUCGUUUGUAUAUAUAGGUAUGUAUGCAUAUAAUAUAUUUAGUCUCGUGGAUGGAUAGUCUUGCGUCCAUUUUGUAUAGUUUUUAAUAAAAGUGAAUUAAAUUAUGAAAAUUGCAAAAUGCCACAAUAGCAAAUUGCUAAAUUAUUGAACGGCCUAUCCCCGUUGCAAGCGUUCUCAUUGACUUAAGUCAUGUAAUUAUAUGUCUAUAGACUUUAAUCUUUUUUCCCAAACAAAAAGUACAUCAUAGUGACAUAAGAUAUUUUAAUUUGCAAUAUAACAUGUGAAUACGCAUACACUUAAUAUGUAAUUUAAACCAAAAAAUAAAGGGGAAAAAAUGAUAUUAAGAGAUAAGACACAAUUAUUAUAAAAAUAAAAAAACGCUAACAAUUGACUUGAGGUUUUCUUCUCUGGGAUUAAGCCUUCCCUGUUUUUUUGUAGUCAAAAAAUGUAUGAAAACUAUUACUUUGACCCCGGGGCCUGGAUUCUUAAAAAUAAAUAUAGCCUGAAAUACCAUUUAAAAUAAUAUAAUAUAGAUACCUAUAAAAUAAUAUCUUAUUAUAGUUAUACCUACUGAAAAUCAAAAUCAAAAUUCGACGCCUAUAAAUAUAUUAAUAUUUGUAAAAAAAAAAUGUUAAUUACUUAUAUUUACAAAAUGUAUAAUAAUACGUUACUGUCGCAAAUAGGAGGGGAGUUUUGGGGCUUAUCCCCCCUCCCAAAACUCAGCCGAGUCCUCCAAAUCAAGUUAUUAUCUAGUAAAUAUUAAGAAUAUUUAUUAUGUAUGUAUAAUCAAUAGUAUGGGGGUUUAAGCCCACCGAAAUAUGUGUGCUUUUGCGGGUAUUAUUGUACGCGUAGGUACUUACUAAUACAUAUAAUUUCUAUAAUAUAUCAUUCA